This 253-nucleotide ribosomal RNA is filed under the name uncultured bacterium. Its description in RNAcentral is "partial 16S ribosomal RNA". It matches the Rfam family "Bacterial small subunit ribosomal RNA", at positions 524 to 776 of the family's 1533-position model. The record is from RNAcentral.
CACGUAGGGGGCAAGCGUUGUCCGGAUUUAUUGGGCGUAAAGAGCUCGUAGGCGGCUUAGUAAGUCGGGUGUGAAAGUCAAAGGCUCAACCUUUGAAUGUCAGCGGAUACUGCCGGGCUAGAGUCCGGAAGAGGCGAGUGGAACUCCUGGUGUAGCGGUGGAAUGCGCAGAUAUCAGGAAGAACACCAACGGCGAAGGCAGCUCGCUGGGACGGAACUGACGCUGAGGCGCGAGAGCGUGGGGAGCGAACCGG